Molecule: long non-coding RNA, 1983 nt
Filed under: Gossypium barbadense (sea-island cotton)
Lineage: Eukaryota; Viridiplantae; Streptophyta; Magnoliopsida; Malvales; Malvaceae
Description: long non-coding RNA (GBAR_LNC022792)
Source: RNAcentral
AGAAAAAGCGCUAUAUAAUUUAAAGGAAAAAGACUCCCCAUUUUCUCGAACGGCUCUCUGACUCCGGUCAUUGGUCAAUCUCUUCUUCUCCCAGGCCCCGUUCUGGCCAUUUCGAUCCAACUUCGUUAAAGGUAUUUUCUUUUCCUUUACUUAUCAAUUUUAGGGUUUUCUUUCUUGAUUUUAGUUUCAUUUUGAGUUUUCGACCUCGCUCGAUCAGCGAAAUGUGCUACUUUCUGGUUUUAGGGUUUCUCCCUCUAUAAUAGAUUUCUUAUUUGGUUGAAUUUCGCAUUGUGGGAGUUUCAUUGCUGGGUUUCGAAUUGGGGGACUUUGCAAGAUCUGAAGAAUUAUUGUUUGAAAGGAACGAGUUUAAGGUGGUUUUGAAAAGUCUCAAGUUCUUGGAUGUUGAUGUGCAUUUGGAUUUGGAUUAAGAACUUUUUGGUCAGUUGAGUUUCCAUCUUGACGUAAAGAUGGAUUAAAAGUUUCAACCCCUUUCUUGUUUUGUGCGGUUUACUCUGGAUCUAAAUGUUUAAUUUCGUUGAUUUUAGAAUUAGUAAUAGAGGAUUUCUAAUAAAUUUAAUUUCAAAUCAUCUGUUUUGGAUUUUGGAGGACUGAUAGGAAGGUAAACUCCCCAAAAGUUUUGAAUUAUCAUAUUAUUUAUCUAUUUCCAUCGCCUUAGGUUUAUUAUUUUCUUCACUUGAUUGAAUAUUUUGACAUAUGAAAUGCGAUUGAGACAGACUCCAGCUUAAUGAAGCAACCUGAAUGCAAAAUGGGGGAAGGGUAAGAUAAGGAACUCAAAGGUAUUUCUUGAAUUCUGUAGUCAUCUUCUUUUCUUUCUUUUUUUCUAUUUGCUAAGAAAAGAUAAGAUGGUCCAAAAAGAAAAAGGGGGACGCGUUUGGAUUCGGUGUUUAGCUUUUUCUUUUGGUUUGGCGUAUGUUUUAUUUGGCUUUUGCCUUUACCCUUCCUUCGGCUCAGGUGUGAGUGUCUGAGAUUAAUUGAUAUGGGUAUUUUCAAUUUUCUUCUAGGCAUUUUCAUGUAUUUGUUGGAUUUUUAGAAGGUCAUAUCUACAUAUACAUAUUGUAAUAAGCCCAAUUGUCCAGGCCUGCAUACGAGCCCAACACAACAAAAGCAAUAAAACAGGCCCAAAUUAAAACCCAACAGCCCAAGACCCAAACCGAGCCUGCUAGCCCAAAAACACCAAAAUUUCAGAAACCCUAACAGUUUCUGCCCCAGCGCCGCAGCAACUGGCGUUGCAACUGCUUCCGCGCGGCGCGCCCGUCAAUCCCGCACCUUGCGCCCCUCGCCGCCGCGAAUCUCACGCCUUUCCCGCAAGCACGUACCUGCAACAAACACGAGCAGCACGCAAAUAGGAUAACAGAUUAAGAGAUGGGAUUUUUUGGGGAUUCGUUUGAUUUUAGUUUGUAUUUCUCGGCUAUAAAAGGAGCCGAUUAAUUUAUGAAAUGGGGGGAUUUUUUCAGUGUAACAGAUACGAAAAACACAGAGAAAUAAGAGAUAAAAAGAUUUUUUAUUUUUCUUGCUCUCUGUUCUUGUACUAUUUUGUUUUUUUUAUUUUGUUCUUCCUUGAUUUUUAAAACAAAAAUAAACGAGAAGAAAGGGAGAGGGGGAAGAGAAACUUACCUUCGCCGGAUUCGGCGCCUUCUCCGUCGACGGAGGCCGUGGGCAUCAACUGAACGGCGGCGGCAUGGAGGGCUGGGGGGUUGAAAACCUAGCAGAGGUUUCCCCCCUUGUUGUAAAGUUUUUUUUUUUAGAAAAAUGAAAUGAAAUAGUUUUUAGGAAUUUUUUUUUGGUUUUAAUAAUAAAGAUAAAACGGCGCCGUUUUGAAGGGGCCAGACCCGCGCGGUGACCCGACACGGAGGGAAGGAUCCGCGCGUUCUGGCAUGAAUGGGUAAUUUGUGCGUUUAGUCCUUUUUCUUUGCAUUUCGUUUCAAUUAAACCCAUUUAUUUCUUUUUUAAAAUUUGGGCCGC